CGUUAACUUCCUCCUCGGCUUCCCUUCUCGCCCUCAGCGGUUCGGGGUUAGCUCUGAGGGGAGUGUGGGAGGAGGGCUCUGACCGAGGACUCCGACCUCAGAGGGCCUCGGAAGCCGGUCCCAUCCUGUACCGUCGCGGCCACCGACCACUGCCUGCCCCUCCUACCAGCUGGCGGUCUUUCCUGAGGAAUGCCUUUGGAAAUGGCCAGGGCACAAAGGGGCUCCUGUGUGCCCAGCGCUAGAGGGCUCGGCCUCCCCCUCCAAACUCGGGGCUCAGCCUCAGACACUGUGGUGACAGGCAGCUCCGGAGCGCCUUCCCGGCCGCGAGGACCCCGGGGGCUCGCAGAAGGACCCAGACUUGCGUGGCGAGCAGCUCCACGUGACCACCAGGGGUCAGCCGAAGAAUAGGAGUGGCCGGAGCACGGCGGGAGCGCGGCGUGGCGUCGGCAGGCGCAGGGCCGCGCGCCGGGCCAGGUGGGCCAGGACCUUCCCCGAGAGGUGCGCGGUCGGCGGGCGACCGCCCUCGUUUCAGGUCAGCAGACUACAUCUCCCAGGAAGCACUGCUGCAGCACGGACCCGUAGUACCAGCGGGGCUUAAGAUAGCCCGAAACCUGUAGCCCGUCAGCUUCCCCAACUUUCCAUCUACGCAAUUAACCAGGAAACCAAGCCGCACGUCCUAAAAGAAUCCAGCGUUAGGGUCCUCGGCAGCCACAAGGAAGACCUAACAUCGUCCAGGAAAGACACACUUCUAUUUCUCCAAUAUCCUCGACCUUGAACUCCAGAGCUUCACCUUCAUUUCUAUGUGGGAACUUGAAAAGUUUUUGUUUUUGGUUUUUUUCCCAGUUGUUAUAGAAAACCAACACAAAGAAAGAAGAGGAGGGCUGAAGUUAGAGCAUCCCAUACUCGCAGGUCUCUAAUGACAUAGAUGACAGCCAAUAAUAUUUUUGAUUUUAUUUUAUAAAACAUGCAGUUUAAAACAAAAUUUUAAAAAAUAACAAAACUUGGGACAGGAGAGUGGAUGGAAGACAGAUGCUUCUCAGCUGUCAGCAGGAGUGAAGCCAGCAGCCAAGCUUUGUCUAGGACCCAAAGGGCCUUUUGGCAAUGAUGGUGUUGGCAACACUGGUUUGCUAGGGCCACCGACGCUCUAUGUCCUGGCCCCUCCAGGCAUCCCUCAAACAGUCAGAGACGUGAGCUGUCUUAAGUUACUGUUGUAAGCCUGUCACUGUCCAGGACUUCAGUCCUUUCCUUAGCCAACUAGGAACCAAGAGUACUGGUUCUCGGAGUGGGUUGUUUGUUUGCCUGGAUAUUAAUUACCCAGGAUAUUUAUUGAGAAUACAAAUUACUUUCCAUUUGGGUCAAUCCUAGACUCUUUUUCUGGCCUGCUAUUUUGCAAAGGAUGAAAAAGGAAUCUGGCUCCUCUUCCCUUUGCAACAACUCUGCUGCAUUCCAGUUCUAUUAAUAGCACCAUCUGUAGACCCUGAGCAGGUCCAGUUCUGGAAGCAGAUAAGGUAGAGCCAACUUGGGAAGCCAUCUCCUGGUUCUGGGGCCACAGAACUUCCACAGAAGGGAGAGGGCGUAGUUUGCUGGGAGAAGGUGAGGUCAAAGCGCCAACACUGAAGAGAAGACAGCUGCAUCUGUCAGACAAAACCAAGAGCGUUGACUUUUAAGUUGUUCAACAACCUGUAUCUCAUCGCCAUCAGUCCAAUUGCAAACAUCCAGCCCUUUGUUCUUGGUCAUCUUCAUGCGAAUGGAGAAAGGAAGCCAGACGUUCUUCAAUUCCUCAACGGAGGAACACAUCAGCAUACCCUCUGGACUCCCUAGUUCUUUCCUAUCAGGACAAGAGAAUUAGAAAUUUGUUCUGAAAUCUAGCCAGUGACAAGAGGAGCCACAGGGUAGCUCAAUCCUUUGACUGCACCCCCAAGUCAGUACCUACCAAUCAGCCAAAGUAAACUCUUUGUUUUUGGA
Molecule: long non-coding RNA, 1965 nt
Organism: Canis lupus familiaris (dog)
Lineage: Eukaryota; Metazoa; Chordata; Mammalia; Carnivora; Canidae
Exons: 4
Source: RefSeq, a predicted model, not a curated record